This 116-nucleotide unclassified non-coding RNA is filed under the name uncultured Archaeorhizomyces. Its description in RNAcentral is "sequence contains ITS1". Lineage: Eukaryota; Fungi; Ascomycota; Archaeorhizomycetes; Archaeorhizomycetales; Archaeorhizomycetaceae. The record is from RNAcentral.
AUGAAUGGCCAUUCGUGGCCUUCGACCCUUCAAAACCGUGGAGGCAUAGUGUGCUUCGGCGCUUCGGCGCCGCCUUUAUGCUGUAAAGUCUGUGUCUGAAUCUAAAACAUAGUUUA